GUGAACGCUGGCGGCGUGCCUAAUACAUGCCAGUCGAGCGAACAGACGAGGAGCUUGCUCCUCUGACGUUAGCGGCGGACGGGUGAGUAACACGUGGAUAACCUACCUAUAAGACUGGGAUAACUUCGGGAAACCGGAGCUAAUACCGGAUAAUAUAUUGAACCGCAUGGUUCAAUAGUGAAAGACGGUUUUGCUGUCACUUAUAGAUGGAUCCGCGCCGCAUUAGCUAGUUGGUAAGGUAACGGCUUACCAAGGCAACGAUGCGUAGCCGACCUGAGAGGGUGAUCGGCCACACUGGAACUGAGACACGGUCCAGACUCCUACGGGAGGCAGCAGUAGGGAAUCUUCCGCAAUGGGCGAAAGCUUGACGGAGCAACGCCGCGUGAGUGAUGAAGGUCUUCGGAUCGUAAAACUCUGUUAUUAGGGAAGAACAAAUGUGUAAGUAACUAUGCACGUCUUGACGGUACCUAAUCAGAAAGCCACGGCUAACUACGUG
Molecule: ribosomal RNA, 496 nt
Filed under: uncultured bacterium
Lineage: Bacteria
Description: partial 16S ribosomal RNA
Rfam family: Bacterial small subunit ribosomal RNA
Source: RNAcentral